GGAGUCUGGGCCGUGUCUCAGUCCCAAUGUGGCCGUUCACCCUCUCAGGCCGGCUACCGAUCGUCGCCUUGGUGGGCCGUUGCCCCCCCCAACUAGCUAAUCGGACGCGGGCCCAUCGGAAAGCGGAUUGAAUCCUUUAAUAUACAAGGCAUGCGCCUUAUAUACAACAUUCGGUAUUAGCACCCCUUUCGGGAUGUUGUCCCCAUCUUUCCGGUAGGUUGCCCACGCGUUACUCACCCGUUUGCCACUAGGCUUUCAUAGCAAGCUAUUCAGCCCCGUUCGACUUGCAUGUGUUAAGCACGCCGCCAGCGUUCGUCCUCGAGCCAUGAUCAAACUCU
RNAcentral lists this ribosomal RNA (338 nucleotides) under uncultured Veillonellaceae bacterium. Its description in RNAcentral is "partial 16S ribosomal RNA". The record is from RNAcentral. Lineage: Bacteria; Bacillati; Bacillota; Negativicutes; Veillonellales; Veillonellaceae.